This 401-nucleotide unclassified non-coding RNA is filed under the name Hevea brasiliensis (rubber tree). Lineage: Eukaryota; Viridiplantae; Streptophyta; Magnoliopsida; Malpighiales; Euphorbiaceae. The record is from RNAcentral.
CUUAAGGUUACUGUGGAUGACAAGAAGGUGUCUCAGUUCACGAGUCGGGCUGCACGACUUAAUGAAGCAUUUUCGGUAGUGAGACGGGUGCCUAUUGUACGGCCUUUGUUGCCUGCUGCUGGGUUGAAUUCUUGGCCUGUGAUGACUUUGAGGUAAAAAAAAAAUUGUUGUGGAGUUGGUAUAAUGAGGAAACAUUACGUGAACAUGUUUGAGAUAUAACGUUCAUCUUGCUUUGCUCUGUAAGUAACGUGAUUAUUUUAGAUUUCCUUGUGUAUGAACUUGUUUUUGGUGUGUAUAUGCCAGAAGGGUAUAAGGAUCAAAGAAGCUAUAUAUAUUGUUCGGGUCAUGUUGGGUAUGUGUAAUCAGCUUUGUAAUGUUUGCACUUUAAAAUGAUAAUAAAG